Molecule: ribosomal RNA, 432 nt
Filed under: uncultured bacterium
Lineage: Bacteria
Description: partial 16S ribosomal RNA
Rfam family: Bacterial small subunit ribosomal RNA
Source: RNAcentral
GGGGAAUAUUGGACAAUGGGCGAAAGCCUGAUCCAGCCAUGCCGCGUGUGUGAAGAAGGUCUUCGGAUUGUAAAGCACUUUAAGUUGGGAGGAAGGGCAGUAAAUUAAUACUUUGCUGUUUUGACGUUACCGACAGAAUAAGCACCGGCUAACUCUGUGCCAGCAGCCGCGGUAAUACAGAGGGUGCAAGCGUUAAUCGGAAUUACUGGGCGUAAAGCGCGCGUAGGUGGUUCGUUAAGUUGGAUGUGAAAUCCCCGGGCUCAACCUGGGAACUGCAUUCAAAACUGACGAGCUAGAGUAUGGUAGAGGGUGGUGGAAUUUCCUGUGUAGCGGUGAAAUGCGUAGAUAUAGGAAGGAACACCAGUGGCGAAGGCGACCACCUGGACUGAUACUGACACUGAGGUGCGAAAGCGUGGGGAGCAAAACAGGAUU